CCACAUCACCACGGAGACCACCACAGUUCAGGCCAUCAGCAUCACCAUGGAGACCAUCACAGUUCAGGCCAUCAGCAUCACCAUGGAGAUUACUUUGGCACAAGUAAUAACCCAGGACCUCCCACUGAAUCACUUCUCAACCAGCCCCACUCCACAAACAAUGAUCUUGACCACGAUGAACACAACACUCAUGUAAAGGGGCAUGCUACUGGCAGCCCCCCUUCACACGCAGCUGGAGUCUCUCUCUAGCAAGGCAGGAUUUACUCAGGAACACUAGCCCCUCGAGUCAGGACGAGGAACAGACGAGCUUCACUGGCUCAUCAUUACAUAAAGAAAAGGCACAUGGACUUGGUAAAAUCAUGAUGCUACAGGAGCAGAAUGAAGGUCUGCAUCAAAGUUUGCUGAAGACAGCAGUGAGGAUGGAGUGUUUAGGAGAGGAAUUCAUGAGCAGCCAAAAGCUUUUGGAGGCAGAACUUCAGAGGAC
This 484-nucleotide long non-coding RNA is filed under the name Cottoperca gobio. Its description in RNAcentral is "lncRNA (ENSCGOG00000006173.1)". Lineage: Eukaryota; Metazoa; Chordata; Actinopteri; Perciformes; Bovichtidae. The record is from RNAcentral.